This 389-nucleotide ribosomal RNA is filed under the name Chloromonas sp. CCCryo208-05. RNAcentral describes it as "eukaryotic LSU rRNA". It matches the Rfam family "Eukaryotic large subunit ribosomal RNA", at positions 1 to 382 of the family's 3401-position model. The record is from RNAcentral. Lineage: Eukaryota; Viridiplantae; Chlorophyta; Chlorophyceae; Chlamydomonadales; Chlamydomonadaceae.
GACCUGAGAUCAGGCAAGGCUACCCGCUGAACUUAAGCAUAUCAAUAAGCGGAGGAAAAGAAACUAACCAGGAUUCCAUUAGUAACGGCGAGCGAAACUGGAAAAGUCCAACUUGAAAAUCUUCAGCUUUCAGCUGACGAAUUGUAGUCUAUAGAAGUAUUCUCUGUAGCCACUCCUGCCCAAGUUCCCUGGAACGGGACGCCAUAGAGGGUGAGAGCCCCGUCAGUAGGAUGUUAGCCGCUCCCCGAGAUGCUUUCGCACAGUCGGGUUGUCCGGGACUGCAACCCUAAUUUGGUGGUUAGUCACAUCUAAGACUACUGACUGGCCAACAGACCUAUAGCGUUCCAGUGCCUUGAUGAUCGUGCCAAAACCCAAAAUAUCCCUUUUAA